Molecule: ribosomal RNA, 428 nt
Filed under: uncultured Pseudomonas sp.
Lineage: Bacteria; Pseudomonadati; Pseudomonadota; Gammaproteobacteria; Pseudomonadales; Pseudomonadaceae
Description: bacterial SSU rRNA
Rfam family: Bacterial small subunit ribosomal RNA
Source: RNAcentral
CGAUGAUACGCGAAGAACCUUACCAGGUCUUGACAUCCCCCGCGAUGCUUUUAGAGAUAAAGCGGAGGUAUUCGGGGAGACAGGUGGUGCAUGGUUGUCGUCAGCUCGUGUCGUGAGAUGUUGGGUUAAGUCCCGUAACGAGCGCAACCCUUGUCCUUAGUUUACCAGCACGUUAUGUGGGCACUCUAAGGAGACUGCCGGUGACAAACCGGAGGAAGGUGGGGAUGACGUCAAGUCAUCAUGGCCCUUACGGCCUGGGCUACACACGUGCUACAAUGGUCGGUACAAAGGGUUGCCAAGCCGCGAGGUGGAGCUAAUCCCAUAAAACCGAUCGUAGUCCGGAUCGCAGUCUGCAACUCGACUGCGUGAAGUCGGAAUCGCUAGUAAUCGUGAAUCAGAAUGUCACGGUGAAUACGUUCCCGGGCCUU